This is a long non-coding RNA of Magallana angulata, 1469 nucleotides long. RefSeq lists it as uncharacterized. NCBI's taxonomy places the organism in Eukaryota, Metazoa, Mollusca, Bivalvia, Ostreida, Ostreidae. The record is from RefSeq and is a predicted model, not a curated record. The transcript has 3 exons.
CUUGAAAUGUUUUUGUCAUGUUAGCAAAGCUCAUGCCAUUUAUUUACAAAUUGAGUGCAUAACUGAACGUGGAAUAUAUUUAUGUUUGAAAAUAAGAUAAUCUAAAUUAACAGGAAAAUAAAUAUAAACGAACUGCGUGUGUUCAUAACGAACAAACAAAACUUACAACAGAACUUUUAUCACUAUAUUUGACCAAUGUAAAUAAAACAUGGCACAAGAUAUUUGAGUUCUUUAUCUCGCUUCUAAGCUGAAAACUGACAUUCCAAUUUUGGUUAGGCUUUACAAAUACCUAAUGAAACAUUGUAAACAUUAAAAAUGGAAAAUAACAUUCGCCUUCAUGCCCCUUUAUGCCAAUUAUAAAACCAGUAAUGAAAAUGGAACUGGGAGAUAAGAGCCAGAGAUGGUUAUCGUGCUCCCUUGUUGAGGCAUUGUGGAUCGUGACGACAGGGCGAUACCAGGAAGGAAUUCCCAACACAACUGUACAUCCCGACCUUUGAUAAAGCUCCACGAGUUCCGACCUUUGAUAAAGCUCCACGAGUUCCGAAUCCCAUUACACAGUUCGUUUUAUAUAGGACCAUUGUAACAAAUUGAAGGGAUAAAAACCUGCAACAAAGCCUAGAAGAACGGAGCAGCUACUAGCAGAACCAAGAUAAGACUCGGUGGGUCAGAAUAAAGACGAAUAGUGGGAGUCUGGAAGCAGAGAAGCGUGAUUGAAUAGAGCCACACUGUGAUUAAUAAAAACACUAAGCACGGGCUGAUAAGGAAAGUCAUCAACACUCCGCGAUGUAACCGCUGUUUUAAUGGAGAACGCUAUUUUAUUUGCGGAGUUUUGUCUAAAACAACUUGAACUUUUUUAAGUUUGAAAAAUUGUAUUUUUUGCUUUAGGGAUAAAUAUUUCAGCAAGAAAAUUGAAAUUUGCAGACGAGUGUGAUGCAAUUUAUUUAAGAAACACGAGAAUAUCUAGAGAAUUUUCAGAAAGUAAUUUUUUUAACAUGAUAUCAUGGAAACCAUUCCAAAAAAGCUAGAAGAAGAAAUUAAUGUCGGGUAAAAAAGUGUCAACAAUAUCUGCAGGUUAGAUGAGAUACGGUAGCCAGAUUUCCCAUUGACUAAUUACAUCACAGCCUUCUCGGUGUCGUCGAAUUGACAAGUCAGGGUCUGAAGAUUCUCUGACUAUUAGAUAACAUUCGCUCUUGACUGAACACAGGAAACAAAAGAUGGCGCAGAUGGAGACAAGGGCAAUCAGGAACUAUUUGAGUGUUUAAAAAACUUGUUUAUUUUGGAUAGUGAAAUUCUUUUUAUAGUGUCUAUUCAACUAGGAUUGAAAUAUUUGAAACGCAAUUAUUUCGAUUCCUGGCAUCCCAGUGUUUACCUAUCAAUAAGCACAUUAAGCUAUUCAUGUACAUAACACUAUCCAUGUACAUUAUGCUAUGGUAUAAUAUAAAUUAUCAAUAUCUUUAAAACAAUGUAUG